AACGAACGCUGGCGGCAGGCUUAACACAUGCAAGUCGAGCGCCCCGCAAGGGGAGCGGCAGACGGGUGCGUAACGCGUGGGAACGUACCUUUUGGUUCGGAACAACUCCGGGAAACUGGAGCUAAUACCGGAUAAGCCCUAACGGGGAAAGAUUUAUCGCCGAAAGAUCGGCCCGCGUCUGAUUAGCUAGUUGGUGAGGUAACGGCUCACCAAGGCGACGAUCAGUAGCUGGUCUGAGAGGAUGAUCAGCCACACUGGGACUGAGACACGGCCCAGACUCCUACGGGAGGAAGCAGUGGGGAAUAUUGGACAAUGGGCGCAAGCCUGAUCCAGCCAUGCCGCGUGAGUGAUGAAGGCCUUAGGGUUGUAAAGCUCUUUUGUCCGGGAAGAUAAUGACUGUACCGGAAGAAUAAGCCCCGGCUAACUUCGUG
This 431-nucleotide ribosomal RNA is filed under the name uncultured bacterium. Its description in RNAcentral is "partial 16S ribosomal RNA". It matches the Rfam family "Bacterial small subunit ribosomal RNA", at positions 29 to 507 of the family's 1533-position model. The record is from RNAcentral.